UACGUAGGGUGCAAGCGUUUAAUCGGAAUUACUGGGCGUAAAGCGUGCGCAGGCGGUUUUGUAAGUCUGUCGUGAAAUCCCCGGGCUCAACCUGGGGAAUUGCGAUGGAGACUGCAAGGCUAGAAUCUGGCAGAGGGGGGUAGAAUUCCACGUGUAGCAGUGAAAUGCGUAGAGAUGUGGAGGAACACCGAUGGCGAAGGCAGCCCCCUGGGUCAAGAUUGACGCUCAUGCACGAAAGCGUGGGGAGCAAACAGGAU
RNAcentral lists this ribosomal RNA (257 nucleotides) under uncultured bacterium. RNAcentral describes it as "partial 16S ribosomal RNA". It matches the Rfam family "Bacterial small subunit ribosomal RNA", at positions 524 to 778 of the family's 1533-position model. The record is from RNAcentral.